ACAGUCUGAGUGAUGACGAGUACUUAGUACGAUCUAUAAUUAAAAAGAAGAGAAAACAAACUGAUGAGAAUGAAUUGUUACAAAAUGUUGUAGAAGAGGAAAAUGAAGAAGAAAAUGUAUUACCAUGGAAAAUAAAUAAUAAAAAAAAAAUAUUAAUACAUUAACAUUUAUAUUACUAUUAAGAGAUAUUGAAAAGUAUAUAGCACAAAACAUUUAUUAUUAUGAACAAUUAAUUUAUAAAAAUAUUUAUUUAAAUUAUAUUAAAGAAAAAAAGAUCGAUAUGUGUAACAAAAUAAAAAUAUUCGAUGGUGAAAAUUAUGAUCCUCUUACUAAUAAUAGUAUUAGUUAUAAAAAAAAAAAAAUUAUUAUAAAAAUAAAAAUUCAAAAGAAUUUUAAAAAAUUAAUAAAUUUUAAUAAAAUUAACAAAGUAUUAUACAAAUUGAAUGAUAUAGAAAAAAAUGAAUCAAAAGUAAUGGAUGCUCAAAAAAAUAUGGAAAAAUUAGAUUACACUGCUAUGACUAAUUUAAUAAAAAAAAAUCUAAUUACUUUAACUAAAAAAAAAAAAAAAAAAUUACAAAAUAUAUUCGAGCAAAAGAAUUCAAAAACAAAAUCAGAAAAGAAAUUAAAAAAAAAUUAAUAUAUAAUAAAAAUAAACUAGAUAAACAAACAGAUGUAGAUGGAACAACUGGGAUACCUGAUACAAUGAAAAAUGAUUACAUAAUUGGAAAGGAUCCGAUGGGGGUAGAUGUUGGUCAAACAAGUGGUAAUACGUAUCAAUCAAAUUCUAAUACCAUAAACAAAGGUAACACCCUUUUUGAUAUAAUAAUUGAAGAAAAAAGUAAAGAGGAAAAAAUAAAGAAGAUCAGCUCGUUAAUUAUCGACGACGUUUUUAACAAAAUAAACAAUAAUAAAAGUAGGAAAAGUAGCAGAAAUAGUAGUAAUAGUAGUAGUAAUAGUAGUAGUAGCAACAAUAAUACUAUUAGCACUGGUACCGGUACUGGCACCGAAACACAUGCUAGCACUAAUUUAAACUACGUCAACACUAACAAAAGUAAUAAUAACAUGAAUAACACAACAAAAGCAAAAAAAGCUUUCACUUUGAUAAAUGAAAACUCAGAAAAAAGUAAAAUAUCCCACUUUUUAAAAAAAAAAGCAAGUUUUACUUCUGUUAAUGGUAGUAUAAUUAAACUAAAAAAAAAAACAAAAGAAAAUGAUGGUGGUGAUAAUUAUUUGUAUACAUACGAUAGUAACAUUAAUAUUGACGGGUUACAUUAUAAAGAUAACUUAGAAAAUGUGAUAAAUGAUGAACAAAGAGAAGAUAAAAAAACACGUUAUUUAUAUAAUCAUAAAAUAAAACAAUAUUUAAAAAAUAUAUCAAUAAAUAAAUUAUUUCUUUUUUAUUAUAAAAAAUUAGAAAAAAAUGUAACAUCUAUAGAUACCAACUAUUUUUAUGAUGAUUAUAUUACAGCUAGUUAUUCUAAUACAUUAGAUAUAGGUACUUAUCAAAAUAGUAAAGGAAAUAUAGCUGUAUUUAGUUUUAUAAAUCCAACGUAUCCAUUACUUUUGUAUAACCUAGAUUCGAGUGUUAUGAAAAUUAAAUAUUCUAACAAUAACCCUAAUAUAUUAGUAGCAGCAUUAGCAAAUGGACAUAUAUACAUUUAUGAUAUAAGAACCGGCACAAAUACUAAUACUAUCAGUUAUAGUAACAAUAAUGGUAACACUGCCUCUACAACUGCUACUGCUACUGCAACUACUAAUACAGACACCUCUUUGGAUAACGAAGAAGCAAAAAAGGAUGGGGAAGUAAAUGAUACAAAGACAGAUAAAAAAUAUAUUAAAUCUAUAUCUAAAGAACAAGAGCUAUUAAAUCAUUAUACAAAUGUUACCGAAAAUAUUACUGAAAAAAAAAUUAAACCAAUACAUUCUUAUUACUACUUGGGUAAAGAACUAUUCAAUAAGG
This 1960-nucleotide long non-coding RNA is filed under the name Piliocolobus tephrosceles (Ugandan red Colobus). RNAcentral's name for it is "lncRNA (ENSPTEG00000023055.1)". The record is from RNAcentral. Lineage: Eukaryota; Metazoa; Chordata; Mammalia; Primates; Cercopithecidae.